AGACGUGAGGGCGAUCUGGCUGCGACAUCGGUCACCCCACUGACGGCCAGCGUUGAUCCGGCUGAUCUGGCUGGCUAGGCGGGUGCCCCUGUCCUCCCUUACCACUCCAUAUGCACCUGGUGGAGGAGGAUGGCCUUCCCCGAUAAAGGAGGACGUUCUUUGACCAAGGGAUAGCAGUACCUGUGCUUCCCUUCUAGAACCUCCAAAGAGGCUCUCAAGGUAAUUUGGAGGAGACCAAAGGUUAGUCAAACUUCCAAGACUCCAGAAUCAUCCAAAUGAAUCAUGGCAUGUGGCAGCUUGUCUUUUU
Molecule: small nuclear RNA, 307 nt
Filed under: Panthera pardus (leopard)
Lineage: Eukaryota; Metazoa; Chordata; Mammalia; Carnivora; Felidae
Description: 7SK RNA (ENSPPRG00000015215.1)
Rfam family: 7SK RNA
About the family: 7SK was discovered as an abundant small nuclear RNA in the mid-70s but a possible function has only recently been suggested. Two independent studies have found that 7SK RNA binds the CDK9/cyclin T complex (known as elongation factor P-TEFb). P-TEFb activates transcription by phosphorylating the C-terminal domain of RNA polymerase II.
Source: RNAcentral